UAGGGAAUCUUCCGCAAUGGACGAAAGUCUGACGGAGCAACGCCGCGUGAGUGAAGAAGGAUUUCGGUUCGUAAAACUCUGUUGUUAGGGAAGAAAAAAUGUAUAGUAACUAUAUACAAAAGAGACGGUACCUAACCAGAAAGCCACGGCUAACUACGUGCCAGCAGCCGCGGUAAUACGUAGGUGGCAAGCGUUGUCCGGAAUUAUUGGGCGUAAAGCGCGCGCAGGUGGUUUAGAAAGUCUGAUGUGAAAGCCCACGGCUCAACCGUGGAGGGUCAUUGGAAACUAAGAAACUUGAGUGCAGGAGAGAAAAGUGGAAUUCCUAGUGUAGCGGUGAAAUGCGUAGAGAUUAGGAGGAACACCGGUGGCGAAAGCGGCUUUUUGGCCUGCAACUGACACUGAGGCGCGAAAGCGUGGGGAGCAAACAGG
RNAcentral lists this ribosomal RNA (429 nucleotides) under Verrucomicrobiota bacterium. RNAcentral's name for it is "Verrucomicrobia bacterium partial 16S ribosomal RNA". It matches the Rfam family "Bacterial small subunit ribosomal RNA", at positions 355 to 776 of the family's 1533-position model. The record is from RNAcentral. Lineage: Bacteria; Pseudomonadati; Verrucomicrobiota.